RNAcentral lists this transfer RNA (77 nucleotides) under Marinilabiliales bacterium. RNAcentral describes it as "tRNA-Arg". It matches the Rfam family "tRNA". Rfam says of the family: Transfer RNA (tRNA) molecules are approximately 80 nucleotides in length. Lineage: Bacteria; Pseudomonadati; Bacteroidota; Bacteroidia; Marinilabiliales. The record is from RNAcentral.
GGCCCCAUAGCUCAACUGAAUAGAGUAUCUGACUACGGAUCAGAAGGUUUCAGGUUUGAAUCCUGAUGGGGUCACCA